GGGAGAAGCCCAGCACCGAAUCCCGCGGUCGUAACCGUCGCCGGGAAAUGUGGUGUUAGGGAGGAUCAAUGUCCCGUGGUUGUGCGGUGCGUCCAAGUCCACCUUGAACGGGGCCACUUACCCAUAGAGGGUGCCAGGGCCGUAAGGACCGCCGCCGGAUACGGGAGGAUCUCUCCUCAAAGUCCGGUUGCUUGAAAGUGCAGCCCUAAAUGGGUGGUAAACUCCAUCUAAGGCUAAAUAUAACCACGAGACCGAUAGCGAACAAGUACCGUGAGGGAAAGUUGAAAAGAACUUUGAAGAGAGAGUUCAACAGUACGUGAAACCGUUCAGGGGUAAACCUGAGAAACUCGAAAGAUCGAAUGGAGAGAUUCAGCGCGUCUCGGAGGGCGCGAGUGGUGGCACUGUGACGGUCGACGUUCGCGUCGGCCGCCUCGCCAUCACCGCAGUUCGACGAACGUGUGCACUUCUCCCCUAGUAUAAGGUCGUGACCCGUUGAGUGCCCGUCUACGGCCCGCGGAGGAGCCCGUGCGGAGGAUUUUACGAUCCUCCGCCGGACCCGCGGUGUCCUGGCCGACCCGCUCGACGGUGUUGAUAUUGGCGAGGGGCCGCGAUUUUCGCGUCCGGCGCGCAACAAGCUCGCACGGUCUAGUCCGUCUGUCUUACCUGGUGCCUACAGCGGACUCGUUCGGCUGUUGGUUGCGUCGUUCUCGGACCGACUCCCGCCUGUCAACGACGCCAUUGCUUUGGGUACUUUCAGGACCCGUCUUGAAACACGGACCAAGGAGUCUAGCAUGUGCGCGAGUCAUUGAGACUAACUUAAUCUACCGGCGAGCUGAAUGCAAAGGCCACCUCACCGUGCGCCGAGGGAGGAUGCGGAGCGCCUCGGUGCUCCGCCGCACUCCCGGGGCGUCUCGAGUUCAUUGCG
RNAcentral lists this ribosomal RNA (925 nucleotides) under Siagonium punctatum. Its description in RNAcentral is "eukaryotic LSU rRNA". It matches the Rfam family "Eukaryotic large subunit ribosomal RNA", at positions 100 to 783 of the family's 3401-position model. Lineage: Eukaryota; Metazoa; Arthropoda; Insecta; Coleoptera; Staphylinidae. The record is from RNAcentral.